RNAcentral lists this microRNA (23 nucleotides) under Homo sapiens (human). Its description in RNAcentral is "Hsa-Mir-1276_3p* (star (passenger))". Lineage: Eukaryota; Metazoa; Chordata; Mammalia; Primates; Hominidae. The record is from RNAcentral.
UGUCUCCACUGAGCACUUGGGCC